RNAcentral lists this ribosomal RNA (565 nucleotides) under Pseudocercospora assamensis. RNAcentral describes it as "SSU rRNA". It matches the Rfam family "Bacterial small subunit ribosomal RNA", at positions 362 to 948 of the family's 1533-position model. The record is from RNAcentral. Lineage: Eukaryota; Fungi; Ascomycota; Dothideomycetes; Mycosphaerellales; Mycosphaerellaceae.
UAUUGGUCAAUGGCCCAACGGCUGAACCAGCAAUUUGGGGGAAUGGAGGUAUAUAUCUCAUGAUGCAUAUAUACAAAUCGACUACGUCGUAUAAAGUUCUAAAUAGAUAAUUGAUUAUGACAGAUUUCUAUUUAUGUGUCUCGACCAAUUCUUGUGCCAGCAGUCGCGGCAACACAAGUGAGACUAGUGUUAUUCAUCUUUAUUAGGUUUAAAGGGUACCUAGACGGUUUUUUUAGCCUGAAAAAUGUACAAAAAAACUAGAGUUUUAUAUGAGAGGUAAAUAUUAGGACUAUUGGUGUAGAGAUGAAAUUUUUUGAUACUAAUUGGAUGUAUAAUGGCGAAGGCGAUCCUCUAUUUAUAAACUGACGUUAAGGGACGAAGGCUUGGGGAGCGAAUAGGAUUAGAUACCCUAGUAGUCCAGGCAGAAAAUUAUGAAUGUUAUAGACUAAGUAUAUAAUUAGUGUAUAAAUGAAAGUGUAAGCAUUCCACCUCAAGAGUAAUGUGGCAACGCAGGAACUGAAAUCAUUAGACCGUUUGUGAAACCAGUAGUGAAGUAUGUUAUUUA